This 274-nucleotide ribosomal RNA is filed under the name uncultured bacterium. Its description in RNAcentral is "partial 16S ribosomal RNA". It matches the Rfam family "Bacterial small subunit ribosomal RNA", at positions 523 to 796 of the family's 1533-position model. The record is from RNAcentral.
AUACGGAGGGGGCUAGCGUUGUUCGGAAUUACUGGGCGUAAAGGGCGCGUAGGCGGAUUGUCAAGUCAGAGGUGAAAGCCCUGGGCUCAACCUGGGAACUGCCUUUGAAACUGGCAAACUAGAGUCCGAUAGAGGAUGGCGGAAUUCCCAGUGUAGAGGUGAAAUUCGUAGAUAUUGGGAAGAACACCAGUGGCGAAGGCGGCCAUCUGGAUCGGCACUGACGCUGAGGCGCGAAAGCGUGGGGAGCAAACAGGAUUAGAUACCCCUGUAGUCC